Non-coding RNA from Camellia sinensis, 1313 nucleotides. The record is from RefSeq and is a predicted model, not a curated record. Lineage: Eukaryota; Viridiplantae; Streptophyta; Magnoliopsida; Ericales; Theaceae.
AUUGAUUUUGAAGUCAAAGCAGGUGGGAUUUUUCAAAGAUCUGAUUCUGUGCAGUCUAAAAGUUGUCUUUCUUAUGAACACAGGCACACAGUUGAUUUGAUUCAUUUGGGGUCGCAUUUUCAAAGAGUGGAGCAGCAGAGGUAUUCUAUGCAAGUGAAACAGGAAAAUGGUCUAGAGAGCAAAAUGAAUGAGAAGUUGCAGAAUAUAUUAAAAGCAACAUGGAAUUUCUACUCUCUCUCUGUAUUCUAGAAGGCAACAACAAACCAGUUUUGCUAUGGAAAGCCAAGCGGAGCACCCAAGACUUCUUCUACUCAACAACCACACUCCUCUAAAUCUGGAGGCCUAAAAAACCUUAUCUUGGUUGAUGAUAAAGGUCAUUGAGUUGUUUGAUGCAAAACUCUCAAUGCUUGGAUCUCACCAACUCCAAAAUGCUGCAACUGCCACUUGUGCGUCUCUAUGCCUUCGUGAUCAAGGUGCGGACCUUAUGUGUCUAUUUUCCAUUUUCCCUAGAACAUUAGAACAAAACUACUAUAUAUACUACCACAAAAUUUUGCUGUAUCCAAGUUGCUCUCUUUUUUGACUCUCUUCUUUGUCAAGUAAAAUAAUUGUAUGAAUGAGUAUCAAGGGGAUGUGGCCCAUAUAACUUUUUUGUCUUUCGGGUUAUGUUUGGAUCUUGGAUUUACGGAGGAAUUUAUAGAAAAAAAAAAGAAAAAGAAAAAGAAAUAUAAGAUAAUUCUUUUCUUUUCCUUGCAUUUUCUUUUCCCUUCACAAAUCCCUUCUCAAAUCAAAGAUCCAAAAACACAAUCUCAAUCUUUUAUAAACGAAAUUUCUAAGGGUUUGUUAGAGGCUAAUAUCAAAGAUCCAAACAUAGCCUCAAUCUUUUAUAGCUUAUAUGAUUUAUGUUUUCCGGCACAUACCAAGGAAUUUGCCAAAGCUUUAGCUGAUACAAUUCAGAUGACAAUUCCAAAGGCAAAAUUGGUUCUUGUCGUUGCAAUGGCAAGUGACAAAGACCAUUUGGGUUUUGCGAGAGAACUACUUUCAGUCAGAAAUUGGUUGGAGAGAUACAACAUAUGAUCAAAGAAUUAAAGAACUUUGUGUUUCAAGUUUUCUCAUUUUUUAAUAUAUGUAAUCACAGUUAAAAACUUUUUAUUAAUUCUUUUGUAUUACUUUGAACAUUCAACUUUCAUGGAAAAUGUCUCGUAGCUCAAAUUUUGUGGCUCAAAAGUGGCUCAAAUGGCCAAAACGACGUCGUUUUGGCCAUUUUUAUGUUGUUUUGUACUCAAUGAAAAUGCACAAGACACUAACAUCAACAA